This 1972-nucleotide long non-coding RNA is filed under the name Lonchura striata (white-rumped munia). RNAcentral's name for it is "domestica (Bengalese finch) lncRNA (ENSLSDG00000010722.1)". Lineage: Eukaryota; Metazoa; Chordata; Aves; Passeriformes; Estrildidae. The record is from RNAcentral.
GUUUUUUCCCCAUUUUUUCCCCAUUGUUCCUCGAUUUUCCCUUUUUUCCCGUUUUUUCCCUUUUUUCCCAGUUUUUUCCCAUUUUUUCCCCAUUGUUCCUCGAUUUUCCCGUUUUUUCCCUUUUUUCCCUGAUUUUUCCCAUUUCCCCCGUUUUUCCCCAAUUUUACCCCGAUUUUCCCAUUAAUUUUUCCUGAUUUUUCCCCAUUUUCCCCCAGAGUUUUCCCCAUUUCCCCCCUGAGUUUCCACAGUUUUUUUCCCCGUUCUUUCCUCAUUUUUCCACCAUUUUCCCCCCAUUUUUUCCCAAUUUUCCUCCAAUUUUUUCCCCAUUUUUUCCCCGAUUUUCCCCAUGAUUUUUCCAUGUUUUUCCCCAAUUUUCCCCCGAUUUUCCCAUUAUUUUUUCCUGAUUUUUCCCCAUUUUCCCCCUGAGUUUUCCACAAUUUUUCACCCAUUCUUUCCUCAUUUUUCUGCCAUUUUUUCCCCAAUUUUUCCCCGAUUUUCCCAUUAAUUUUUCCUGAUUUUUCCCCAUUUUCCCCCUGAAUUUCCCCCAUUUUUCCGCCAUUUUCCCUGUUUUUAUCUCAUUUUUCCGCCAUUUUCCCCCCAAUUUUUCCCCGUUUUUUCCCCAUUUUUUCCCCAAUUUUUUCCCCGAUUUUUCCCCAAUUUUUCCCCGUAUUUUUCCAUGUUUUCCCCAGGAAUAAGGAGUGUCCCACCUGCAGGAAGAAGCUGCCCAUUGCCCAUUGCCCAUUUCUUCCCCAAUUUCCCCCAUUUCAACCCCAAUUUUUCCCCAUUUUUACCCAACUUUUUCUCUAUUUUUUUCCUGAUUUCCCCCCAAUUUUUCCCCGAUUUUCCCAUUAUUUUUUCCUGAUUUUCCCCCAUUUUCCCCUGUUCUUUCCUCAUUUUUCCGCCUUUUUUCCUUGUUUUUUCCCCAUUUUUCUGCCAUUUUUACCCCAAUUUCCCCCAAUUUUUCCCCAAUUUUCCCAAUAUUUUUUCCUGAUUUUCCCCCAUUUCCCCCCUGAUUUUCCCCCAUUUUUCCCCUCUUCUUUCCUCAUUUUCCCCCCAAUUUUUCCCUGUUUUUUCCCCAUUUUUCUGCCAUUUUUUCCCCAAUUUUUCCCUGUUUUUCCCCCAUUUUUCUGCCAUUGUUUCCCCAAUUUUUUCCCCGUUUUUUCCCCAAUUUUUCCCCGUAUUUUUCCAUGUUUUCCCCAGGAACAAGGAGUGUCCCACCUGCAGGAAGAAGCUGCCCCUUGCCCAUUGCCCAUUGCCCAUUUCUUCCCCAAUUUCCCCCAUUUUUCCCCCCAUUUUUCUGCCAUUUCAACCCCAAUUUUUCCCCAUUUUACCCCACUUUUUCCCUGUUUUUUUCCUGAUUUCCCCCCAAUUUUUCCCCAGUUUUCCCAAUAUUCUUUCCUGAUUUUCCCCCAUUUCCCCCCUGAUUUUCCCCCAUUUUCCCCUGUUCUUUCCUCAUUUUCCCCCAAUUUUCCCCCGUUUUUCCCCGUUUUUUCCCCAUUUUUUCCCCAAUUUUUUCCCCGUUUUUUCCCCGUUUUUUCCCCAAUUUUCCCCCGUAUUUUUCCAUGUUUUCCCCAGGAACAAGGAGUGUCCCACCUGCAGGAAGAAGCUGGUGUCCAAGCGCUCGCUGCGGCCCGACCCCAACUUCGACGCGCUCAUCUCCAAGAUUUACCCGAGCCGCGACGAGUACGAGGCGCACCAGGACCGCGUGCUGGCCAAGCUCAGCCGCCUGCACAACCAGCAGGCGCUCAGCUCCAGCAUCGAGGAGGGCCUCAAGAUGCAGGCCAUGCACAGGUCCGGGGAAAAUCCCCGAAAUUCCCAAAGUUUUCCGGGAUUUUGGGGCGUUUCGGGUGAAAACGGGGCGAAAAACGGGCAAAAAACGGCUCAGAAAUGGGGAGAAAUGGCUCAGAAAUGGCACCAAAAUCAUCAAAAUACAGAAAAGUUCCUGAAAUUCCUGUUCAGAUGCAGGCCAAGC